This 641-nucleotide long non-coding RNA is filed under the name Anas platyrhynchos platyrhynchos (common mallard). Its description in RNAcentral is "lncRNA (ENSAPLG00000022632.1)". The record is from RNAcentral. Lineage: Eukaryota; Metazoa; Chordata; Aves; Anseriformes; Anatidae.
AGCCUGUCUUUAAUUUGCCUGUAUGCAUGGUACCCCUACAGUAGUGUGAGAGAGGCAACAGAUCAUUUAUAUAAAUUAGAAUCAGUGGGGGGCUGAGUACUGAGCCCAGGAGAAUACCCUCUAGGCAAGUGGAAAUUUUAGGGACUAAGGACUUAAUCUUAGCUGCUUGGCUUCUUUCAUCAAGCAUUUUGCCAGACAGCACUAAAAAGCAGGAAAGGAUGACAAAGGAUGGAAGGCAAUUGAAGGAAAACCUCUGUCUCUCACAGGAGCCAAGAAAUCCAGAAGAAAAUUAAGACAGCAGAAGCAGAACUUCAGUGAGGGUGGCUUGAGACUAGAGAGGAGCUGGUCACAGACAUUCAGAAGCUGGGAAUUCUGUAAAUUCCCAAUUGUCUGGGAAUCUCAUCUGAUUCUUAGAAAGAUGAUGGGAAUUGCCUAAGUGUUAGGGUUGACUAGACAAACAUUCUUCUGUUUCUGUAAUAUAUGGGACUUGAUCUUCAAUUUGGAAGGUGAGAGAGCAGCACACAAUCCCUGCCAGUCUAUUGUGGUCAAGUCAAAGGAGGUUCAGAGAGUCAGAAGCAAAAGAAUUGAAAACAACGUGUAAUUUUGGGUGCAUAAAGAUGCUUUUGAAUAACUUCCCAAAC